RNAcentral lists this ribosomal RNA (584 nucleotides) under uncultured bacterium. Its description in RNAcentral is "bacterial SSU rRNA". It matches the Rfam family "Bacterial small subunit ribosomal RNA", at positions 914 to 1503 of the family's 1533-position model. The record is from RNAcentral.
CGGGGGCCCGCACAAGCAGUGGAUUAUGUGUUUAAUUCGAAGCAACGCGAAGAACCUUACCAGGGUUUGACAUCCCGGUGACCGCCAUAGAGAUAUGGUUUUCCCUUCGGGGACACCGGUGACAGGUGGUGCAUGGUUGUCGUCAGCUCGUGUCGUGAGAUGUUGGGUUAAGUCCCGCAACGAGCGCAACCCUUAUUGUUAGUUGCUACGCAAGAGCACUCUAGCGAGACUGCCGUUGACAAAACGGAGGAAGGUGGGGACGACGUCAAAUCAUCAUGCCCCUUAUAUCCUGGGCUACACACGUAAUACAAUGGCACUUAACAAAGGGAAGCAAAGCCGCGAGGUGGAGCAAAUCCCCAAAAAGUGUCCCAGUUCGGACUGCAGUCUGCAACUCGACUGCACGAAGUCGGAAUUGCUAGUAAUCGCGGAUCAGCAUGCCGCGGUGAAUACGUUCCCGGGCCUUGUACACACCGCCCGUCACACCAUGAGAGUCGGGAACACCCGAAGUCCGUAGUCUAACCGCAAGGAGGACGCGGCCGAAGGUGGGCUUGAUAAUUGGGGUGAAGUCGUAACAAGGUAGCCGU